RNAcentral lists this ribosomal RNA (309 nucleotides) under uncultured Flavobacterium sp. RNAcentral describes it as "bacterial SSU rRNA". It matches the Rfam family "Bacterial small subunit ribosomal RNA", at positions 9 to 316 of the family's 1533-position model. Lineage: Bacteria; Pseudomonadati; Bacteroidota; Flavobacteriia; Flavobacteriales; Flavobacteriaceae. The record is from RNAcentral.
GAGUUUGAUCCUGGCUCAGGAUGAACGCUAGCGGCAGGCCUAAUACAUGCAAGUCGAGGGGCAGCGCGGGUAGCAAUACCUGGCGGCGACCGGCGCACGGGUGCGUAACACGUAUACAAUCUGCCUUUAACAGGGGGAUAGCCCGGAGAAAUCCGGGAUUAAUACCCCAUAAUAUAUUGAGUGGCAUCACUUGAUAUUGAAAGCUCCGGCGGUUAGAGAUGAGUAUGCGCCUGAUUAGUUAGUUGGUGAGGUAACGGCUCACCAAGACUUCGAUCAGUAGGGGAUCUGAGAGGACUACCCCCACACGGA